RNAcentral lists this unclassified non-coding RNA (634 nucleotides) under Hevea brasiliensis (rubber tree). The record is from RNAcentral. Lineage: Eukaryota; Viridiplantae; Streptophyta; Magnoliopsida; Malpighiales; Euphorbiaceae.
UGGUGUUUGCUUAUGACCUAUUAAAUAUAUGACAAUAGGAAGGACAAAGUAUCUUUGCAGUCGGCAUUACAAGGGAUGCUUGGGUCGUUCAGUGCAACUUGAAGUGGCAGUGUCCUACGCAUGGAGAUACGUCUUAGUGCUGGACACCUAAAAAGAAUUUAAUAUAUUUGCUAAAUAUGGUUGCAGUGAUGUGCAAUAGACAUGGUGCAUAAGUUCAUCUGGAAUAUUUCUCUCAUGGUGGUUUUUUUAUAGCUUAUUCAAUCCUUUAGUUUAACCAUCCCAAAAGGAACCAUUUGUAAUUAUGAUAGGCCACUUCUCUAGAAUGAUGUCAAUGUUUUAGUUGAUAAUUGCCUAGUGGAAGCAAAGGGAUUAGAAGAUUUUCAUAAUUGAUGCAGUUUCAACUGCACAUGUGGUUCUAUUUUGAAUGGAGUAUAUCCAAGCCUUGUUCCAUGGAAUUUAUGGACAAGCUGGUUAGUCCUGAAGUCGACAUUAUUAAUUCGUCUGACAAAGAACUUUCACUGGUUCCCAUGGUACUCCUGUCUCUGAUAUUUUCAGGAGUUCGGGAAACAAGCAGUGACCAUGCUUCAGAGCAUGCAAGAGUCUUUCAACAUCUGUGCUGCGACAAUAUAAUCUA